GCCGCCGGGCUCAGCCAAUACCACAGCCGCCCAAAGCUCUAGAAAGUCGUUAGGGUUUAUAGCAAACGCAAUGAAGCGCAAAGACAGUUUCAUCCAGUUCUUCGCAAUGACAGGGAUACUGCUUUUGAGUAUCAGAUCCUUAGGUCAAAAGUACCGUCUCCAUGACCUUCAGGAAGACACUUCAGCUCUUAAGCAAGAGCAGCAACCCCUAACCGAUCGAUUGAAUAACAUCAAG
RNAcentral lists this unclassified non-coding RNA (235 nucleotides) under Hevea brasiliensis (rubber tree). Lineage: Eukaryota; Viridiplantae; Streptophyta; Magnoliopsida; Malpighiales; Euphorbiaceae. The record is from RNAcentral.